UGGGGAAUUUUGGACAAUGGGCGAAAGCCUGAUCCAGCAAUGCCGCGUGUGUGAAGAAGGCCUUCGGGUUGUAAAGCACUUUUGUCCGGAAAGAAAUCCUUGGCUCUAAUACAGUCGGGGGAUGACGGUACCGGAAGAAUAAGCACCGGCUAACUACGUGCCAGCAGCCGCGGUAAUACGUAGGGUGCAAGCGUUAAUCGGAAUUACUGGGCGUAAAGCGUGCGCAGGCGGUUUGCUAAGACCGAUGUGAAAUCCCCGGGCUCAACCUGGGAACUGCAUUGGUGACUGGCAGGCUAGAGUAUGGCAGAGGGGGUAGAAUUCCACGUGUAGCAGUGGAAAUGCGUAGAGAUGUGGAGGAAUACCGAUGGCGAAGGCAGCCCCUGGGCCAAUACUGACGCUCAUGCACGAAAGCGUGGGGAGCAAACAGGAUUAGAUACCCU
This 440-nucleotide ribosomal RNA is filed under the name uncultured bacterium. Its description in RNAcentral is "partial 16S ribosomal RNA". It matches the Rfam family "Bacterial small subunit ribosomal RNA", at positions 355 to 788 of the family's 1533-position model. The record is from RNAcentral.